This is a non-coding RNA of Bactrocera oleae (olive fruit fly), 8488 nucleotides long. The record is from RefSeq and is a predicted model, not a curated record. NCBI's taxonomy places the organism in Eukaryota, Metazoa, Arthropoda, Insecta, Diptera, Tephritidae.
AGUUAAUAUUCUCACGUCAGACGGUUUAGAUCGACUUUCGCGCGAUUCGCAAGCAGCAACAUAAAUGUACAUUCGGUCGUUGGCUAGCAGCUUGCAUGCUCGUUCGGUUGCUUGCGCUUAUAAGCUAUGUACGCUAGUUAGUUUGCGCACUUAACAACUUCUUUUACUCAGAAGGCUAUUUACUGCUGCUAAAGCGCAUUGUUGUUGCUGCAAAUGGCUAAAUAGUUUUGUAUUUUGCUUGUGUCGAUAAAGUUAAAAUUCAUUGCUUCCGUUUAGGCCCGUUUGAGUUUCAAACAGGAUGCCAUAAACCAUCAUUAAAAGCUACGAAAAUUAUAAAAAAAAAUUGUUGUAAGAAACUUUUGACCAAAAUAACUGUUAACAAAAAACUUAUAGUGUUAAUUAAGAGACGCGUAUAAUGCCGAAAAACUUUAACACAAAAGUGAAACAGUUCAAAGUUGACAGAAAAUUUCAUAUUAACUAAAAAAUAUAAAAAUUGUGUUAAAUAUUUUAUGUAAAAAAAAAAAUAAUUAAAUUUUAUAACUGAAAACGGCUUUGAAAACCAAACAAAUGAACAAAAUGUGCUGAUAAAAGCUCAAAAUAAGAUAAUAAUCAACAUUUAUUGUUGCUCUUGUUGUUUUAGUGUUUAUACACAAAGUAACUUGCAUACCAAAACGUCGUUACAACACACACAGUUUAUUUAAUAUAAUAAUUAAUUUUUGUUUAAAUACAAAUCGUUUUGCAACUUGCUCCAAGCAAGUCUUCACUGCACCAAAGUAAUAAAUUGAAAAAAUCACAACGCCAUGGGUUUGUCAGAAAAUCAGGCCAAUAGCUAUAUGCCUACUAGCACAGGAGCUGGUGGUCAAGUGGUCGUUGUCGAGUGCCCAAAUCAUCGCAUUUCCAACAAAAAGCUGCAUAUUUUGAAGAAGAUCAAGAAACGUUUCGGUUUAGUUCGUCGCUCACCAUCCUCCUGCGCCGGUCCCAACAACUUGCCACCACUCCAGUUUCACACCGUACAUGGCGACAACAUACGGAUAUCACGGGACGGCACUUUGGCACGUCGUUUCGAAAGCUUCUGCCGCGCGAUCACCUUCUCAGCACGCCCGGUGCGCAUCAACGAGCGCAUAUGUGUACGCUUCUCAGAAAUUUCAAACAAUUGGAAUGGCGGCAUACGUUUCGGUUUCACCAGCAACGAUCCGGCAACGCUGGAGGGUGCGCUGCCCAAGUACGCGUGUCCCGACCUAACGAAUCGUCCCGGUUUCUGGGCGAAAGCGCUGCACGAACAGUAUUGCGAAAAGGAUAACAUACUUUAUUACUACGUCAAUUCGGCUGGUGAUGUGAUCUAUGGCAUCAACAACGUGGAGAAGGGUGUCAUAUUGAGCGGCAUCGAUACGCGUGGUUUACUCUGGACCUUGGUUGACAUCUAUGGCAAUUGCACUGCUAUUGAGUUCUUAGAUGCGCGCGUCUAUAUGUAUCAACAGAGUGGCAAUGGACUCGUGGCCGCCGGUGUAGCAUUACCUGCCGGCAAUAGUGGUGUAAUUGGUGUUGGUGGCACAUUGCCCGGUCCACAAAUACCACUGAAUCCACAUCACCCGCAUCAACAAUCGCGUCGCUCAUUGCCAGCUGUCGAGCAGGAUUUGGAUCGUCAUGUGUUGCCUUCAAUGCAAUCGCUGAAUAUUUCUAUGGAACAAAUGCCGUUUGCACAAGAUAUGGCCAAUGGUCUGCCACCGUUGCGCUACAAUGCCAACGGCCGCCUCAUACCGGUGCCAUUUCACAUCACCAAAGGCCGCAAUGUGCGUCUCUCCAUGGAUCGGUUCAUAGCGUCACGCACAGAAAAUGACUUCUGCCAGGGUUAUGUGUUCACAGCGCGUCCCAUACGCAUCGGCGAGAAGGUGAUUGUACAAAUACUGAAAACCGAACAAAUGUACUUGGGCGCAUUGGCGCUGGGCCUUACCUCCUGCAACCCGGCGGCACUGCAACCCUCCGACCUACCCAACGAUUCUGAUUUUCUGCUCGAUCGCCCCGAAUAUUGGGUGGUGAGCAAGGAUAUCGCCUCACAACCACAACGCGGUGACGAGAUCGCCUUCUUUGUCGCGCCCAAUGGUGAGGUAACCAUAAGCAAAAACAAUGGCCCGGCCGUUGUUGUCAUGCAUGUCGAUCAAUCCCUACAGCUGUGGGCUUUCCUCGAUGUUUACGGCUCCACACAGUCGGUGCGCAUGUUCCGCCAACAGCUACCUAAUAUGGUUAACUAUCCACAACAACCGCUCUCAGCCGCACCGUCAACACAACGCCUGCCGCAACACGGCAACAUGUCAAUUGCCGAAUCGAUGAAUAGUCUGAAUAGCCAAAUGUCUGAAUCGCGCAAAAUGUUGCACAACUCUGCGCUCACUGUGGCAUCACACAACACCAUGAACAGCUCUGCGGCGACACUAGCCUCCAUGACGGCCAAUGUGGCGGCAGCGGCGCAAACUCAUUGUAAUGUACCUGCAGCGACGGUGUCGACGGUCACGCCCGUCACCAAAACCAAUGGCAAUACCACGGCGACGGCGACCGGUCACAUGAUCAGUAUGCCAUCAAGUGGGGAUCUCAUACAGAUUCAGCCCAACGGUGGCGGUACUGUGUUGGUUGUGAAUUUACCGCCUGCAAACUCGACACACGAACUGAAUAGUGUGAGUGGUGGCGGUAAUGGUGUGACCGCAACAAGGCAGCCAACAUCGGGUGUACUGGCUGGCGCUUGUUCGUCAACAAUGACAAAUAAUCAGUACAUUGAGCCUGUGUCCUCGUUGAACGGUUGCAAUUCCACUCAGGAGAUGAAUAAAUGGAAAGACACCGUGGAUCACAGUGGCAAUAGCAGCGCUGGCGCUGAAUGCACGAUCUGCUAUGAAAAUCAAAUCGACUCAGUGCUUUAUAUGUGCGGACACAUGUGCAUGUGUUACGACUGCGCUAUCGAGCAGUGGCGUGGUGUUGGUGGCGGUCAGUGUCCACUGUGUAGAGCCGUCAUACGUGAUGUUAUACGCACAUAUACCACAUGAACGGAACAAUGAGGCACAAUAAAAUAAUAAUACAAAAUUUAAACUCAAAACAGGUGAAAUGGAAUGCAACUAUCUACGCUAAUGCCAAAAGUAGAUUCGAUUUUUUUAAAUUUACAAUUUCGCGUUACAAAAAAGCGAUAGAUUAUUACAAUAAUAUUUAAAACAAUGAGAACGUGAGAGAGUAAGAUGAAAACGUAAUUCCUACUUUAGCUGAAAUUGCCUCCUAACUAAGUAUAUAAUACGGGUAUACCAAAAAGGAAGCAAAGAAAUGUGAACAAAGGCUAUUAGGCAACAGUAAAACCGUCACGUGCUUAAAUUAAGCAUAAAAAUUGUUACUCGCAGUCAAAGACAAAUGAGAUGAAUGAAUGAUAAUCGUUAUGUGACCGAAUAACUAAACAACUCGCAAUUUUACACUACAUACACAGAUAAUUAAUAAAAAAUUGCAAGAAAAACUAAAAACUAAAACAACAAAAUUGUCCAAAAAUAUAAGAGAACACUGCACUUAUGAUUAAAAAUAAACUAAAUUGUAAUUAAAACGUAUUAUAUUAUUAGCAACUUUAAAAGGCAGACUAGACUACUUUAAGAAAAAAGCUGCAAAGUAAAAAAUAAUAAUUAACUAAUAUAAAAGCAAAUGAAAAACAACAAACGCAUUUACUCUAAAGCAGAGCAGACACGUGUAGAUUUUGUAUUUAGUGCCAGCAGUUAGGAUUUAGAUAUAAUGCUACGUCAAACAAAAACCAAAUGCAGAGUAGUUUAAAACUCCGCGAAGCAUUAAAACUGAACGCUGCAUUAUGCAAAUUGUAAGUUUAAAUUAGACUAAAAAGAUAAAAUGCAAAACGCAAAUAGCAAAUAGCAAAAAAAAAAAAACAAAAAACAUAAGUAAAAAACAAUUGUAACAGAACUAUAUUCUAAAUUUGUGAUUUUAUAAAAGAAAAACUAAAAAUUAUUAUAAUAAUUUAAGCAGCGUUUAUUGGCGACGAAAUUGAAAUUAAAUAUAGUUAUAUAAUAUUGUAAUUAGUAAUAUUUAAUGCAGAAAUAAUUGCAAUUUUAUAGUGUUUUCAAAAUGUGAAGUCCAAAAAUGAUUUGUUACGUUUAAAAUUUACUUACUAUUAUGUGAUUAAUUAUAAGGCUGAUUCAAUGUCGAUAGUUUAGCUGGAAAUUGUGCGUUAAGAUGUUUCAUAUAAUUUUCUUAUUAUUUGCUUGUUUUGCUAAAAGCAUUUUGAAUUGUUUAUUCUUAUUGCCAAUCAAAAAUAAAUUUAAAUUGCGUUAAUAACCAAAUCAGCCUUUCCCUCUCUCAAUUAAUCACAUAAUAUUUUUAUUCAUAGUUACUAACUGUAUUGCACACGCUCUAUUUACCGUUAUUUCAGCAUUUUCGAAUAAACCGGUAAAAAUUCCUAAUUACCAGUCACAGUGCACUUCUCAAACGUUAUAUAAAAAACACAUAAAGGUCAAUUUUUUUGAAUGCAUGCUACAUUUUUUUUUUUAUAAGCAAAACUGCCAAAACUGCUAUUAUUUGUGUCGUGAAAAAUUGAGUACAGCUACUAUAGAUACAAUAAAAACUGCCUAAAAAAAUAAAACAAAAAAAACUACAUUAAAUUGUUAACAGCAUUAUGUAUUUUUUUCUUUACAAUGCUCGUGUAAUUUUGUUAAAGUAAAAUUUCAGAUUGUACGGGGUUGGAGCAGAAAAUGCUUUCCAUAUUAUUAGUGUACAUACAUACAUAUAUAAGCAGACUUCAACACGCGCUUUACCGUUUUCCACCAAAUGUAUAAAAAUCCAAUUUAUUUUUAGAUGAAAAUUUCCUAUAUUUUUGGAAAAUAAUUGCAUAAUGAAAAGAUGUAUUGCAAAAAUUAUUAUUUAUGUGUAUAAAGUGGCAACACUGUUAGUUUCUUUCUUAUAUUAUUUUAAAUACGGUAUAAUUUUUAUAUUUUAUUAAAUAAAAUCCUUUCAAUAAUUUAUUAAAACGGUGUACAAUAAAUAAGCUAUAAAUUCAAAAAAAAAGGAAGGCUUAUGAGCAUGUUAAGCAGUACCUCUACUUGUCAUUUGAUUUGUUAUCUUUUGUAUUGUAUUUUCCUCAAGUUUAUAAUGAACAAUUUACUGAGCAAGAUAGUUUUAGUUUCCUAUUUUAAGACUUGAAUAUUUUUUUAUACUUUUGAGAUAGUUAUACAAGCUUAUGUUUAGUAUUAAGUUAUUUUUUGUAUUAAUUUCUAGUCAACGAAUAUUAAAAAAUAAAUAUAAGAUUGUGUUUAAAGGCACGAAGGAAAAAUGAGAUUUAAGCUAUUUGAAAUAAAUGCAAAAAAGUUAAAUUGAUGAUUACUAAUGAAUGAAAUUACAUAAAAAUAAAAUAAUAAAUUCAAGUUUAUUCAAUAAAAGAUACCAAUAAUAUAAUAAAUGACGACAAGCAAACUAUUUUAAUGUCAGUUUUAAUUAAAAUACAAAAUGCUACCGAUUUAAAAGUUUUUAAGCUUUUUAAAUAGCAAUUGUAAUAUGGAUAAUAAUAAAGGAUAUAUAAAAAAAUAUAUAUAUCAAAAGUGAAUUUUAGCUACAUAAUAUCAUAUAUAAAAUAAAACAAAAACUUGAAUUUGGAAAACAACAAUACGAAAAAGAAUUUGAUACGCCAAAUGCUCAAUAAAAUGUAUAAUUAAUGAAGCAAAUAGGUAUAUGUUAAAGCAGAAUUAAAAGUGUGUUUUAUUGAAAACCUGAUGUUAACAAAAUAUUUUUUAAUGCCAACUGUGCGACUACACUUCCGCCAAAUAAUUGUACGAUUCACCAAUUACAUCGUUGAAAUAUAUAUAUGUAUAUAUUUUUCUUUUAUUUAAAGUAAUGCAUGUUGAUACACAAUGAAAUACAUGUAAAGUUUUGAAACACAGUUGUAUACAUGCAUAGCGACAAACAAAAUAUGUAUUUAUGAACUAUACAAACCUAUUUAAACAUUAUAAAUUUACUACGCCUAUCCAUACAUAGCUCAAGACGUUAUUUAGAGGUUAGAGGUAGAGGUUAGAAUUCGACUUAUUUUUUUAAUCAUGUGUUAUUUUCGAAAUGAUAUAAAUUGCAUAUAUUUUAUGUUUAAAUUAAAAUGUCACGUAUUUACUUUAAAUAAAAAACUAAAAUGCACUGACUAGGUCUUAGAUUGAGCCACAUGGCCCACACUAUGGAAUUCAUUGUAUGUUGGAUUCGUAACUGUAAAUUAUAUUAUAUUAUAAAGUUAUAAAUCAGAAGACAUUUGUUUAUUAUUAAUAUAAAGACCGUGAAUGAUAAUGAUUAAAUUUAAAUGAAUAUUAAAAUAUAAAUAUCAUGAUUGUAAUGGUUUUGCAUGAUAAAAUAAGCCAAAACUGAUAAUGAAAAGAGAAUUGAUAUCGAUUUGCUAAAUAUUCGUUUCGAAUAAAGCAAGGCAAAUAAAGUUUAAAAAUACCAAAAAAUAAAAUUAAUUCUUGUGUGUUAUGUUUGUUAUCCUAAAAGAUAUUCUCGAAUCAAUGCCGCAUUGCAUAAAAAGCGUUUAAAUACAAAAAAUAUAUGCGUUAAAGUUGGAAAUAGAUUAUAGAGAGAAUACCUCCCUAAAAGAAGCCGCACUUCAUUGUAGUACACCUGCUGCUAUCUUAAUAGCUGCUACUUCUGCUUGAAAGACACUACAGUGUCAGACAAAUAGACACAAGAGUUAAUUGAGAGCUCCCGACAGAAGACUCCCCCUCCAACCUUCCCCUCGAUCUUUAAUCCAUACGUGAAAAAGCUCACUCCGCCUCUUUUCCAGCGACUCGGCCUCACCCACAGAUCCCCCGGAGGUAUGUGCGCGGAGAAGAUGCCGCUAGGAGUGGGCUCCACAGCGCAGUGGUCCAGUUUAUCAGGGAUGCAAUCGAAGUGCGAGAGGACUUCGGUAUGUCCCAUUAUGGAACUCCUAAUGGGUCCGGCUUUCCGGAGUCUGAUAGCAACCUUCGCAGCAUUGCAUUUGCCGGUUAUGCCCACGGACGCUAUUGUAGAAUGGCAUAAAGUGCCAAUGUUGGUAUUAUACUUAGUGCACCACAGAUGCCAAUGAGGGCCGCUCGUUGACACGUUCCAGCGUAUAGUGAAUAUGGCUUUACCGAGCUCCCGCCAUCUGACAAAUACAUCAUAGAAUAGUAUUGGCAGAGAAUGUAAAAUAUUUUACAUUCUCUGGUAUUGGUUAAACUACAGCUUCGAAAACCCAAGGCAGCAAGUGGAAAUUCCCACCACUUCCCUAUAGCUCCUUUACAACAAUAUAAGGCAACCAAUACACUCCUCCCCCUCUCCUCAACAUUGGGCAUUGUAUUUACAUAAUUGGGACCUUAAUAAAUUGAAUAAUUUUAUUUAAAUCAAAUGAAACCUUGUUACAGAGAGUAAAAGAAAUUUUACAUUCUCUGCUUGUUAUAAGGCUAAAAAAAUUAACUUGGCAGCACUGAAUGUGUACUGGGAUCAGAGACCGUAUAUCAUAUAAUUUACGUUCUCUGCUGCGAUAAAUGUCAACUGGACCAAGAAUACUGGAAUAAUCUUUGACAGCAUAUAUUGUUUAUUGUGCUUUAUUUCAAUAAUAAAUAAAAAUUUAAAUCUUUUAACUCAGCUUUGUUUUGAAAUAAAGUGUAAACUGCUCUAAAAUGGAUAAAUAUAAACCCAUGUCGUGGUAUAUUGGCACCGAGUGGACUAUGCCGGCUAAAGUGUCCAAAGUUGUGAUAAAAGUGGAAGAAGUGCAAAAUUUGAAUGGACGGGAAAGUCAAUAUCUAUCCAAUGAGUUAAUUGAACAAGAACAAACAGUGGAAUUAGGUAGUGCUCUCACACCGGUUGAUUGCUAUACAGAACUGCUUGUGCGACAACUUGUGGUAGGUGAACGUGCACGUUGCUUCAUUGCCACAAAGAAAGAGGAAAUAAGUUUCCUAUUGACUCUGAUACGGAUAGAAGAAACAAAGGAAAUAUUUAAAUUAAAUGGUGCAGAAAUGUACGCACUCGCCAUGCGUUACAAGGAAAACGGCGUAGUUAUGUUCAAGCAGUAUCCCAUCUUUGCUCAUGCUUAUUUUUCGCGCGCCGCAAAAUUUUUGAUCUCAUAUAAACCAUUUGAAGGUUUGACGGUAAGCAAGGAUGGUAUAUCGGGUGAGGAAAUGCAAACGCUUUUUACACAAAUUCAGACUAAUUUAGCAGCUUGUUUGUUGAACGAACAGCGCUACGAAGAUGUACUGUAUCAAACAAAGUUUGUAGAAGAGCACCCAAAUGCUACAGAGAAAAGUAUUUACCGCAGAGCAAUGGCAUUUUAUCAUCUUAAAGAAUUUGAAAAAGCUCAAAAACUUAUUGAGGGUGUUCCAAAUUAUCAAGGAAAAAGAGAAUUUGCUAAACUUCAUCAACGUUUAGGGGAAAGUUGGAAAACCAGCAAUGAGCAGUAUAAAAAUGUAGUGAAACGUAUGUUUAGUUAGACUGACAAAAAAUGUAUUUUUUUAAGGACGGUGUAAUAAAAUUGUAAAAA